GACGAACGCUGGCGGCGCGCCUAACACAUGCAAGUCGAACGAGCGAGAGGAGGUUUACUUUCUCAAGCGAGUGGCGAACGGGUGAGUAACGCGUGAGGAACCUGCCUCAAAGAGGGGGACAACAGUUGGAAACGACUGCUAAUACCGCAUAAGCCCACGACCCGGCAUCGGGUAGAGGGAAAAGGAGCAAUCCGCUUUGAGAUGGCCUCGCGUCCGAUUAGCUAGUUGGUGAGGUAAUGGCCCACCAAGGCGACGAUCGGUAGCCGGACUGAGAGGUUGAACGGCCACAUUGGGACUGAGACACGGCCCAGACUCCUACGGGAGGCAGCAGUGGGGAAUAUUGCACAAUGGGGGAAACCCUGAUGCAGCGACGCCGCGUGGAGGAAGAAGGUCUUCAGAUUGUAAACUCCUGUUGUUGAGGAAGAUAAUGACGGUACUCAACAAGGAAGUGACGGCUAACUACGUG
RNAcentral lists this ribosomal RNA (466 nucleotides) under uncultured bacterium. RNAcentral describes it as "partial 16S ribosomal RNA". It matches the Rfam family "Bacterial small subunit ribosomal RNA", at positions 28 to 507 of the family's 1533-position model. The record is from RNAcentral.